Molecule: ribosomal RNA, 433 nt
Filed under: uncultured bacterium
Lineage: Bacteria
Description: partial 16S ribosomal RNA
Rfam family: Bacterial small subunit ribosomal RNA
Source: RNAcentral
AACGAACGCUGGCGGCAUGCCUAACACAUGCAAGUCGGACGAGACCUUUGGGUCUAGUGGCGCACGGGUGCGUAACGCGUGGGAAUCUGCCCUUGGGUUCGGAAUAACAGUGAGAAAUUGCUGCUAAUACCGGAUGAUGUCUUCGGACCAAAGAUUUAUCGCCCAGGGAUGAGCCCGCGUAGGAUUAGCUAGUUGGUGGGGUAAUGGCCUACCAAGGCGACGAUCCUUAGCUGGUCUGAGAGGAUGAUCAGCCACACUGGGACUGAGACACGGCCCAGACUCCUACGGGAGGCAGCAGUGGGGAAUAUUGGACAAUGGGCGCAAGCCUGAUCCAGCAAUGCCGCGUGAGUGAUGAAGGCCUUAGGGUUGUAAAGCUCUUUUACCAGGGAUGAUAAUGACAGUACCUGGAGAAUAAGCUCCGGCUAACUCCGUG